UGCGUAGGUGGCGCCGUAAGUGGGGUGUGAAAUUUCGGAGCUUAACUCCGAAACUGCAUUCCAUACUGCGGUGCUUGAGGACUGGAGAGGAGACUGGAAUUCAUGGUGUAGCAGUGAAAUGCGUAGAGAUCAUGAGGAAGACCAGUGGCGAAGGCGGGUCUCUGGACAGUUCCUGACACUGAGGCACGAAGGCCCGGGGAGCAAACG
RNAcentral lists this ribosomal RNA (207 nucleotides) under uncultured bacterium. RNAcentral's name for it is "partial 16S ribosomal RNA". It matches the Rfam family "Bacterial small subunit ribosomal RNA", at positions 568 to 774 of the family's 1533-position model. The record is from RNAcentral.